AAGAGAAGGGAACGUCUGCUGUUGAUGUAGUUCAUAAUAAAACAAUUUAUAUCACAGUGGCUGUUCUUUUUUGUU
RNAcentral lists this microRNA precursor (75 nucleotides) under Drosophila busckii. RNAcentral's name for it is "mir-6 microRNA precursor family". It matches the Rfam family "mir-6 microRNA precursor family". Rfam says of the family: This family consists of the microRNA (miRNA) precursor mir-6 which appears to be Drosophila specific. The record is from Rfam by way of RNAcentral. Lineage: Eukaryota; Metazoa; Arthropoda; Insecta; Diptera; Drosophilidae.